UGAGACUUCAUUUUAAAUAGUUCUGUGGUCAGUGAAGCUGAAGCCCCACUUCCAUGAUGUCUAUCUCCAAGACCUUUCAGAUAUUACUAAGCUAAUAUAAGUAAUACUCCACAGUCUGAUAGACAUGGAAAUUUAAUUGAGGAAGUCUUCCCCAGUAAAAGGCAUGCUGGAGGUGGUACCUGCAUCAGACACCUUCAGUGCUUAGGGAGAAAUGUGCUGAGGGAGAGAAAGCACAGAGAUCUGGAAUAAAGAGGAAAAGCAUAUAAUCAGAAAUAACAGCUCUCAUCAGGCACAGACAAUAGACAGCAAACUGGCUUCAGGAAAGCUAUUCAGGCAUCAUGGGAGCCAAAUCAACAGACACAAGUGCUUUCUCUUAGGAGGAUGCUGAUGACAGUUUGAUUACUUGGAAUCUGGGGUGAAAAUGCCCAACCAAAGAGAUCAGUUGACACAGAGGAAAACCAGCAGCACAUUAAAAUAAGAAAACCAGGAGGUUUUGUGAAGGACACAAUUGCGUGUUUGCGUGUUGCUGAAA
Neopelma chrysocephalum (saffron-crested tyrant-manakin) is the source of this 532-nucleotide long non-coding RNA. RefSeq lists it as uncharacterized. Lineage: Eukaryota; Metazoa; Chordata; Aves; Passeriformes; Pipridae. The record is from RefSeq and is a predicted model, not a curated record. The transcript has 3 exons.